Molecule: unclassified non-coding RNA, 327 nt
Filed under: Hevea brasiliensis (rubber tree)
Lineage: Eukaryota; Viridiplantae; Streptophyta; Magnoliopsida; Malpighiales; Euphorbiaceae
Source: RNAcentral
GUGGCCUGAUGGAUGGACUGCUGUGACAGCAGAUGGAAAAAGAAGUGCUCAGUUUGAACACACACUCCUGGUCACAGAGACUGGAGUUGAAGUACUGACAGGACGCCUACCGACAUCUCCCAAGGUGUUCCCUUGGUUGAGUUCUUGAUUUGUCUUUUGCAUUCUUUUGCCAGUCAAAAAAAGGUUUCAAGUUGGUCUGUUUGUGUAACACAUGUAUCUUUUUUUUAAUUGAUGAAUUUUCUGAAAUUUUGGUCUCAAACUAUAUGAACAAAUGAGUUUUUAUCGACUCAGGUGCUAUAUUCAAAGCUGAUACGUUUUGGUUACCUG